GGGACGAACGCUGGCGGCGUGCUUAACACAUGCAAGUCGAGCGGAAAGGCCCUUCGGGGUACUCGAGCGGCGAACGAGUGAGUAACACGUGAGUAAUCUGCCCCUAGCUCUGGGAUAGCUCCGGGAAACCGGGAUUAAUACCGGAUACGACCACCUUAGACAUCUUUUGUGGUGGAAAGAAUUUCGGCUAGGGAUGAGCUCGCGGCCUAUCAGCUUGUUGGUGGGGUAACGGCCUACCAAGGCGACGACGGGUA
This 254-nucleotide ribosomal RNA is filed under the name uncultured bacterium. RNAcentral describes it as "partial small subunit ribosomal RNA". It matches the Rfam family "Bacterial small subunit ribosomal RNA", at positions 27 to 285 of the family's 1533-position model. The record is from RNAcentral.